Long non-coding RNA from Oreochromis niloticus (Nile tilapia), 3931 nucleotides. RefSeq lists it as uncharacterized. The record is from RefSeq and is a predicted model, not a curated record. The transcript has 3 exons. Lineage: Eukaryota; Metazoa; Chordata; Actinopteri; Cichliformes; Cichlidae.
ACAUGUGGGCUAAUCGGAGAGUCUCAGUUGGCUCUAAGUUUGAAUAUGAGUGUAAAUGGUUGCCUGUUUCUUUGUGUUAGCCUUGUGACAGACUGGUGAGGGUGUACGCUGCCUCUCGUGCUAAGACAGGCUCCAGCCUCCCUGUGACCCUUAAUUGGAUAAGCAGAAGAAAAUGAAUGCACAUAUACAUAAAAGUAUAAGAAUAACAUAGCAAAAAUAAAUAUCACUAAGAUUUGUUCAUAAAUAUUGCACAUUAGAUUUCUCUGUUGGAAAGCUUUGUUUUGACUACAUGGAGCAGUCCAGUCAUUUGUAGCGCUGGUGGUUUGGGGGCAUGUUUAGUGAUCUGCUACAGAUCCUGUGGAAAGAGAAGACCCAGUGAUCAUCACUGUCGUCACCACGCGCUGCAGGGACUUCCAGUUAACCGUCCAGACAUCACAGAUAUGCACAGGGUAGGUCAUUUCUUCUCUAUCAGCGCGAAAAGAGCAGAUGCUGCUGUGACAAGGACAGGAUGUGUGUUAUCUGUACGACAACCUCCACUGUGGUGUUGUUGAUAACAUGUAGUGUGUAGCUGUGCCGGCUUCUGAUUUCAACGAUGAUCUCUUUGGUUUAGUUGACAUUCUGUUCCAAGUUGUUAUCAAUGCACCACUCAACCAGUGCAAGGACUUGCUCAGUUUUUUCAAACCCUUUUUUCUUUAUGUUCAAGAAAAAUAUAAAGUAAGUAACAGGAUUAUCCAUCCAUUAAGUGGAGAGAACGCACGCAGACAUGAGAAGAACAUGCAAACAGAAAAAGGGCCAAAGCCAGGACUCAAAACAGGAACUUUCUUAGGCAGCAGUGCUAACCACCUCCCACUCUAACUGGAAAUUGUAGCAGUUAAAGAUGCAAAAUGUAAGACUGAUAAUUUAAAAAAAACUGUUAAUGACAUUCAAAAAUUUUCAGCACAAUGUGAAGUAAAAUGGUGUGAUGUUACAUCAAAGAGGUCUGUGUUAGGAAAGCUGUUCAAGGAGAGAAGACACACAGGGAUAUACUACAAAGUGAGCAUAAUGGGUAUCCAUGUAUGUGAAACACGCUGUCUAACCUUGUUAGAUCUCCAUGGUAACCGUUGCUGAACCCAUAACCUGACCUUGUUUGACUUCAUUUUGUUUCAGUCCAUCCCAUACACAACCAUGUAAAACACCUUUUUGGUGUAACUUGUACACCAUUGUCACCACCUUAGUUAUAAGCCUUUCUGGUAAUGCCCCAAAAACCUUUAAAAAAGGUUAAUUUAUUGUAAUUUCAUGCCUAAUAAGGUGCUACACGUGCAAAAUAUUUGCGGCACGGGAACCUAAAAGUGAAAAGGUUUUUACAGGAGAGGUAGAGAAAAUGUACUUUCCUCUGCCGCCACAUCACAGCAGCGAGAUGAAGCAUCAGCUACGUCUUCAUCUGCAUGAAGGCAACACUUGAAAAGAGCGACUUCUUUCAUUUUUAAAUAUGAGGCCCCACCUAGUGGGAUGUCACGUUUCUAAACACCAGAGAUUGUUGCUAUGUUUCACUGUGUCAGUACUUUUGGACUCCUUUAGCCUCGACAGCAACAAGUUUUCUAUUUUUAAAGAAAGACUGACAUAAGUCCUAAAAAGUUUAUAAAUGUUCAGUUCUUCAAAAAAGAAAUUCUGAUUCAGCAGAAAAAGGAGGAAGCAGAAAGAGACAGGGACUUUAAGCAGCUGAUAUGUUGCUUUUAUUUCCUUCAACCAUAUGGUGUAUGGAGUGUAUGGCUGUGGUAAUAAAGGACAAUUUCACACAGUUUUUAAGCUGUUGGACAACAGUGGAGCUCUGUGGACACUUCGGAUAUAUAAAAAUCAGUGAUAAAGAUAUUACGAGGCAGAAGAUAUGCUACACAGUAAAUUUAAUUUCUCCAUUUUGUAAUGAAAAGUAAAACUUUUGGAGGAUAUACAGUAAAUAAGUUGAAUUUUUCAUUCAACCGCUGAUUGGAAAGUCUGAAAAGUUAAUGUUUCAGUAAUUUUGUUUCAGGACGUCAACUGUAUCUCUGAGGAUUUUUUUUAUUAAAGGAGUGAGAUUAAGACAUGAGAAGAGGAAGGAUAGAUCUACAAGAAUCUGCAAACUGAGUAAACUAAGAAAGGGGGAAGUUACCAAAAUAAAUCACUGAGUGGAAACAAGGGAACUAAAGCAAAGAAAAACAGGAAACAAAGACAGACAAGGAGAAACUUGGUGAGCCUGGGAAAUAAUUAUAAAAAGAUGUUAUCAAUAAAACUCCACACUAACACUAAUAAAGAAACUGCCCAUGACCUUCAUGCUUUAGACUGCUUUAAACACUCCGCUUCUCCUCCUGGAUCGGACAUACUGUUGUGGGGUGUCAAACUUAUUAUAGUUCCUGGGCCACCUGCAGUCUGAUUUAACCAAGAGGAUCUAGGCUGUAAAACUGCUGAAUAAUAAAUGAUAACAUUUUCCCCUUUUUAAGUGUAAAUAAGUACUUUCUGAGAACUUUUGCAUGCAAUGAUUCAUCAGCAGAAGAUAGCUGAGGUCAAAUAAAUGUAAUUUUAACAAUAUGUGUCACUUUUUCCACUUUUUCCACUCUACUGUCAUUACGAAAGAGAUGCUUCUGUCAUAACCAGAAACCAAGCACCUCAGUGCAGCUCUUUGACUUGUAGGAAAAAUACAGUGAAAAGGCUUAAAAACGAUGUCGAUAUAGUCAUACACUACAGUAGUAUACAGUAUGUCAUCACACCUCCAGCUCCUUCGCUCCAUGACCUCAAUAAACACGUUCUUGCCAGUUUAUGUCUUAUUUAACACAUUUCCUAAAUUAAGGUCCUCAUUAGAGUCAAUAAAUAUAAGUAUGAUUUAGGGCGGCUGCCGUAUGUGCACACAGUGCCAAAAGAUUCUUAGUCACCAAACACCAAGAUGAUGAUGGUAAAAACAGUCCAUGUCUAAAAGAUCUUAUUGCAGGGAGAAGAUGAACUGUGGGGCAGCACUAAGGUCCAGCAUAAGAUUCAUGUGAAUUAAUUUAAGCUGUGACUCAUGAGAAGCAACUGUAUUCCAGGAGUCCAGAUGGAAUUGAGGCCCAUAGGUCAACUUUAAUGUGGAACAAAUGGCAAAAUCUGUAAAUAGACAAAAACAAGUCAUCGAGUGUGCGUAGGUGGAUUUUUCUGUGCAAUAAAUCAGAUAUAUUUUAGACCUCGUGAGUCAGGAUCAUUGUCUUUUUAUAACUUUUUGCUCUGUGAUUCACUUACUGGGACUCUUCACAGUUCCUCUUUGUUUUCCUCCACAAUAAACUCUUGAUUGAAAAGACAAACUAUCCUGUUUUUAGAGUCACAUUUGCUGUCAACAGAAUAUUCCCUCACAAAGCACUUUAUCAGGACCAGCAGUCAGCCAGUCAUUUGGCAGGGCUUCACAGCAUAAAACCCUCCUUCAGUUAACAUGAGUCUGGCAUGACUGCUGGCAGCAGAUAGGCUGGUUUGCGAGAGUUCGGUCAGAAAGAUGGAUGAGCAGCAGUUGUUUGGAUGGACACUCUUUGCUGAUGCCAGAGUUCAGAGUCCUCCAUCCGAUCUCCACGCUCUGACUCUGACAGUACUCAUCUUCAUUUGGUUUAACGGAAGAGCUCAUGCUCACUUCUCCUACCUGCCUGCCUCCCUGCCACAGUUACUGAAUACCACGGAUCAUCACUGGCUGGAACCAUCACCGCCGCACUCGCUCCACUUACCCCUCUCAUGCCAGUCCUUCACCUGCAAUAAUGACCCGAAGGCUCCUGGUUUCGUUCCCCGGCCUGACUCCCCUUUUCCCCACGCCACAGACUUUCAUGUGUAUAUAGUUUCCUAGUACUCCACGUUUAUUGUACACUUCAUGUUUGCUACUCCUUAGAAUCUCACAUAUGUUUCAUAGCUCACGUAGCAUCAUAGUUGUAAUUCUCUGUUUGUAAAUAAAGUCUUGUAAUCACGUUUA